This 25-nucleotide unclassified non-coding RNA is filed under the name Mus musculus (house mouse). RNAcentral's name for it is "oocyte_clustered_small_RNA1074". Lineage: Eukaryota; Metazoa; Chordata; Mammalia; Rodentia; Muridae. The record is from RNAcentral.
AAUGUCUGUCUUAGAUUGCCCCCCU